UUCCUUGGAACAGGGCGUCAUAGAGGGUGAGAAUCCCGUCUGCGACUCGGCCGCCAACCCCGUGUGAAACCCCUUCGACGAGUCGAGUUGUUUGGGAAUGCAGCUCAAAAUGGGUGGUAAAUUUCAUCUAAAGCUAAAUACCGGCCAGAGACCGAUAGCGCACAAGUAGAGUGAUCGAAAGAUGAAAAGCACUUUGGAAAGAGAGUUAAACAGUACGUGAAAUUGUUGAAAGGGAAGCGCUGGCGACCAGACCUGUCCCCGGGUGAUCAUCGGCCAUUCGUGGCCGUGCACUCGCCCGGACGCAGGCCAGCAUCGGUUGCGGCGGCGGGACAAAGCGCCCGGGAACGUAGCUCCUCUCGGGGAGCGUUAUAGCCCGGGUGGCCAUGCCGCCCGCCGCGACCGAGGACCGCGCUUCGGCUAGGAUGCUGGCGUAAUGGUCGUCAGCGACCCGUCUUGAAACACGGACCAAGGAGUCUACCAUCUAUGCGAGUGUUUGGGUGUCAAACCCAGGCGCGGAAUGAAAGUGAACGGAGGUGAGACCCCGCAAGGGCGCAUCAUCGACCGAUCCAGAUGUCUUCGGAUGGAUUUGAGUACGAGCAUGGCUGGUGGGACCCGAAAGAUGAUGAACUAUGCCUGAAUAGGGUGAAGCCAGAGGAAACUCUGGUGGAGGCUCGCAGCGGUUCUGACGUGCAAAUCGAUCGUCAAAUUUGGUAUAGGGGCGAAAGACCAAUCGAAUCAU
Molecule: ribosomal RNA, 739 nt
Filed under: Fuscopannaria ahlneri
Lineage: Eukaryota; Fungi; Ascomycota; Lecanoromycetes; Peltigerales; Pannariaceae
Description: LSU rRNA
Rfam family: Eukaryotic large subunit ribosomal RNA
Source: RNAcentral